Molecule: ribosomal RNA, 253 nt
Filed under: uncultured bacterium
Lineage: Bacteria
Description: partial 16S ribosomal RNA
Rfam family: Bacterial small subunit ribosomal RNA
Source: RNAcentral
UACAGAGGUCCCAAGCGUUGCUCGGAUUCAUUGGGCGUAAAGGGUGUGUAGGUGGCGCCGUAAGUCGGGUGUGAAAUUUCGGAGCUUAACUCCGAAACUGCAUUCGAUACUGCGGUGCUUGAGGACUGGAGAGGAGACUGGAAUUCAUGGUGUAGCAGUGAAAUGCGUAGAGAUCAUGAGGAAGACCAGUGGCGAAGGCGGGUCUCUGGACAGUUCCUGACACUGAGACACGAAGGCCAGGGGAGCAAACGGG